GAUGAACGCUGGCGGCGUGCCUAAUACAUGCAAGUCGAGCGAACAGACGAGGAGCUUGCUCCUCUGACGUUAGCGGCGGACGGGUGAGUAACACGUGGAUAACCUACCUAUAAGACUGGGAUAACUUCGGGAAACCGGAGCUAAUACCGGAUAAUAUAUUGAACCGCUUGGUUCAAUAGUGAAAGACGGUUUUGCUGUCACUUAUAGAUGGAUCCGCGCCGCAUUAGCUAGUUGGUAAGGUAACGGCUUACCAAGGCAACGAUGCGUAGCCGACCUGAGAGGGUGAUCGGCCACACUGGAACUGAGACACGGUCCAGACUCCUACGGGAGGCAGCAGUAGGGAAUCUUCCGCAAUGGGCGAAAGCUUGACGGAGCAACGCCGCGUGAGUGAUGAAGGUCUUCGGAUCGUAAAACUCUGUUAUUAGGGAAGAACAAAUGUGUAAGUAACUAUACACGUCUUGACGGUACCUAAUCAGAAAGCCACGGCUAACUACGUG
Molecule: ribosomal RNA, 497 nt
Filed under: uncultured bacterium
Lineage: Bacteria
Description: partial 16S ribosomal RNA
Rfam family: Bacterial small subunit ribosomal RNA
Source: RNAcentral